AAGAGAAAUGCGCUGCUCUCGCCUGGCUUCCGACUUCCAGCAGGUUGCUCAGGAGAGUAUAAAAGGGCGCGCUGGGUUCCAAACUUGAUCCGAAGUUGAUCCUGGAGAGGCGUGCUCCAUCGCAACGGUUUGGUGCAGAGAAGACACUUCCUCUGGGGGUCUGGCUGCCCCGCUCUGUGGGCAAACUGCUACAUGGUCUGCAUAAUCCAGAUUUCAACCUCCUAAAGCUGGAAGUAACUGAGCAACAUUGAGCAGAUUUAAACUCCAUCCUUAAAAAGAUGUAACACCAACAAAAAGGCAACCAGCCCACCAGACAACAGAGAGGUUUCUAUGAAAGUAAAGCUACUCAAGGAGACAGACAAUGACAUGGGUGAAGUGUGGAAAGAGAUUUGACAUAAUUCUAGGAAAGCAUUGAAAGACCUUGAGGAAGUAACAAUUAGGAUUUUUUUUCCUGAAACUAAAAAAUUCAACUAGAAUAACUAAAUAUCAGUAUUCAGAUUUUCACUUAUUUAACAAAAAAAGACACAGCUAACUUGAGCACGUGGCAUGCUGUGUCCCUCUAAAUGCUGUACCCAGAGGUAUCGCUGAGGAGGCUAAAGAGAAGAGCAAGCCAAGCAACGCUCAGUCACAGCGUUUGAUUACAGUUUACAGAGUCAAAACUCACAUGUGUCCAUGCUAACGUGCAUAGUAAUUGAAUGAAUCAUUGAUCACUCCCAAGGGGCUGCUCUUUGUAGAGAAAUAUCAAAUCAGUAAAUGUGGAAAAAGAAUGAGAGAAAUUCAAAAUUGCCAUUAGUGAUUCACCACUAUAAUAACAGUUGAAAGAUUUGCCAAGGAAGACCCGAAUAAGCAAGUGAAAAUCUGAAAAGAAACAGGCUAUAAUGCAGGCUGAGAGUAACUUUACAAAGAAGAAAUCUGACACUUCAUUGACUAAGAGUUUAGGUCCAUAUUCACAAGGAAUAGGACCUAUUGACAUAGGUGCUCAAUAGUGAUAUCAGAUACCGGGAAGGACAUGACAUCACUUCUGGGGAAUUCUUGCCAAAAGCUACAUAAGCUUGAUUUAUGUUAGGAAUCUGAAUUGUCAAGAUCAUGAAACUCAAGAAGAAACUAAGGGACUCUCAGUUAUCGGAGGCUGUUAAAAAGUCUCAGGGACUAACUUCCAUCAGGGACCCUGAAUUCUAUUCUAUAAGAAAACCAGGCAAUGGAGAUGGGGGAAGUGAGAAAUUUGCAUAUGAUUUGUAGUUUCAUAAUUAAUGUUAAUUUCCAUGCUUUUCAUAAUUGAAAUAUGGAUCCCAGGUACAAGAUAAAUGCAAACUCAAUCAGAUUUAUUAUUUUUCUAUAAAUCUAAAAUUAUUUCAAGACAAACAUUUUUCAAAAGCUACACAUGUGGCAGUUUCAUGUGGACCCAUUGAUUUUUUUGUGUCAUUUGCGUACUAACCCAUAGACACUACAGGGAUAUUUAUAUAUAUUUCUUUCCCAGUACACAUUUGAAUUUUCUCCCAAAAGCUGCUACUAGUGCAUGAGUAGACACAGGUGCUCAUGUAAUUUGCAAGGCCUGUUGAUAAAGCUCCAUCUAAUUACGAAAAUUGCAUUUACCAUACAUGUGUUUACACUCUGCACAAUAAGUAAAAUCACAAUACAAAAGUCAAUGAUGAGUGCAGCACACAAUUUAAAAUGUUAAUUGCCCCUUAGUGUCACUGUGGAUAAAGUGGUGUUGCAUGAAAGUGACAUCUUAGCACUAAAUAUAUAUAACACAACUCAUUUAAAACACAUUUUUGGCACUCCAAAAAUAAAAUUUUGUAAAUUUUGGGUACUGGGUAAUUGGUUUUCAUUAAGAUUUCCUUAAUUAGAUAUAUGCUAGAUAGGUUUAUUAGUGAUCACAAAGUGAAUCUAUAAAGCAACUUGUAAAACUGUAGAAUUUGCCAUGUAAUGGGCUAUUCCUGGUUAUUACUAUCAAGAGAAGCAGGGUAUGUGAUAGAUAGGCCACAUUUUGCUUAAUGUUUGCUUUGAGGUAUUUAAUUGUUCUAAAUAGGUAGUAAAUGUCCAUUUAAAAAGAAAAGCAAUACUUAGCAAGCUGCAUAAAAAGUUACUGCAGGGCUGUCUGUAUUUCCACCAGUUUUCAUCAAGUAAGUGAAAGCAGUCACCCUCAAUCAUCCCAUCUGCCUGAGUCACUUUCAGGGGGAGCCAGGCUGACUCCCAUGGAAACCACAGCAGGAGGGUGUUUCAGUCCUGAGACUGAAACCACUGGCAGCUUACAGACACACCUCUCUCUCUCUGUCUCCCCCUCCACCCCGCCUCUCUCCCUCUCUUUCUCUGGCUCUGCGUGCUACCCCAAAAUCUAAAUGGAUUUCAAAUCAAUUUUCUAAACCAAACAAAUACUUUAAAAAUUGCUCUGUGAUAUACAAACUGUACUCAUUAAGUCAAAUACUGGUAACAUUGUUUUUAAUUGUGACUACUCUGGUGUAGAUUUGGCAUGAACUAUAAAGAAAUUUAUAUCACAUAAUUGUGCAACAACCAACUUGCAGUUCUACAUGAAUGCUUUGGUAACACACAACAGAUAAAAUUAAAUGACUGACCAUAGCUUCCCUCUUUUAUAGAAUGAAAAAAAUUAGGGAGAAGGCAAACAUGUUUCAGUGAGAGAAAAUAAAAGAGACAAGAACUAGAUGACCUGAGAUUUGCAACAAGAAAAAGUUUCCCCAGCAUACAUUUGUAUUUUGCUCCUUUUGCUUGCUUGUAAGAAGUAAAAUGAGGGUGAAUUUAAGUGUAGUAUUACACAAGACACUCUAUUUAUAAAAAAUCUUUGGGAAUAUGUUUAUUGAUGGUUGGUAUGGAAGAGGAGUUAAUUUGUUUAAUAGUGGAAGUUGCAUUUAAAUAGUACAAUGAAUGUUUAAAUUCUAGAGACAAAGAUAAUUAUUCUUUAUAGUAGUUUUCCCUUCUCCCGAGGUGCAUCCCCAGAAAUUGACCCUUCAAUGAUGCACGGAAAACAACCUGUUUCAGUUAUUGUUUACUCAGUAUUUAUUGAAUUAAGUAUAUUGAGUGUUACGCAUCAGGCCCUGUGCUUGGUGAUGAAACAAUGUGAAACACAGCACUCUGCUGACCUCACAGGUGCAGACCCAGGAGAGGGCAGGCAGAUGCUGGAAGAGGGGUGAGUUCUAAUAAUUUCCCUUAGAAAUGGAGAUGAGGAAAAGCUGUGCUGACAAAAGAUGCUCAAAACAAUGGAAUGAGUCAACUCAUGAAUCUGAGGGGAAAGAAUUUACAGUAGAGGAAGAGCAAAUAAAAAAUCUAUGCAAAUAAGAGCAGGAGGUGAAUGGGAAGUAAACUGGACGGGACUGAAAGAAUAUUAGUGCAAAAAAAAAAAAAAAAAAAUAGAGCUACUGGGGCCCUAGCUGAGACUGGGGCCAGGUCAAGAUUAUGUUUAAAUCAAUGACGCAAUUUACCCAAAAGCAAAAUUUUUGUUAGGGAAAUGUGGUAUCUAUAAUUAAUUUGGCGGAAUAGGUUACCUGUGUGAAACACAUGCUCAUGCUCAUGUUGCAACCUUGUGUCUGUGCACUGAGAUGCAGGAGAAAUUGCUGAAGAGGGAUAAUGAGUGGGGAUGACACACACAAAGGUUUGCAGAGAAGAGAACGGCUUGGAGGUUGGAAAGUUCACGGUCCUCAUGCUAUGCGGAUUAGGACACUGCUUCGGUCGACUAAAAAACAACAAUCCUGAAUGUUUUGUUUGUUUUGUUUUGGUUUGGUUUGGUUUGGUUUGGUUUGGUUUGUUUUGAGGAAGAGAGAAAGAGCAUAGAUUUAUGAUACGUGUAACUAUGGGGCAGAUGGAUCCUGAAGAUGGAUUAGACAGAGAACACAGUGGAGGAGGGACUCCUGGCUUGAUUUCAAUUUCUGACAACGUGAGCAGUGCUGCUACUCCAGGAAACAGGAAACACUGAAAGAGGCCAGUGCAGAGAGCUGCAGAAGAUGCAUUAUGUGGAUGAGGCUCAGAAGAGGGGGAAUGAGGGUUGUCAUUGAAAUGAGCAGUAGGUCUCUGGAGAGUAUCAUAAGGGGUAGCCACAGCAUUCCACGUGGUACUUCAUAAGCACAGAUCUUCUGUAUUUUAGAAAAUUCUCUGAAAAACAUCUUUAUUGUCCUAGCAAUGAAAGAGCAGCUGUGAAUCCUAUGUCUAAGUAGAGAUUUCCAAAAAAUAAUAUGAUUAUCAUUCACUCAAGGAUAGAAAGAAAUCAUAAAUUGGUAAGGACCUGUGGUCUUUACACUUCAGGGUUGGAAUUGGGGUGGCAAUCACAUUGCCUUGAUGGAAGGGGAGUGGUCAAAAUCACGAGGCAGAAGACCCAUUAGAAUGCAAGACUGUUGAUCUCUAGGAACUAUUCUUGAUACCUAAUCAAAUUCAGAUUUUCUUCCACAUUGUAGUUAUUUUCUGUUAUUUCUAAGACUUCCAUAAUUUUUCUCUUAAAUGUUUUAGUCCCAUUGUUGCUUUGUGAUGGAAAAAAGGGAAAACUCGGAGCUUCUGCCAGAAGUUAAUCAUGCAAAAACAGGGAUGAUUUACUUAGCUUAAACUAGACACUAGUUUGGUCAUUAAACAAUUGUCUAAUGUUGGCCACUUAGCUAAAAUAUUUUACAAGGACCAAAAUGGGAUGGUAUAAAAUGACACUUUUCCUUCAGGGACUCCUGAAGACAGACCCAUUUAAAAGAUCUACUUUCCUAUAGUGUUGUGAUAGGAGCUCACCUCUCACUUAGAUGAUAUCUAGAAGCUUUAUGCAUUAGAUUGAGGUCUGCCUGGAUUUUGCUUAUGACUGAACUGCCUGGAAGUCACUGGGAGACUGUAAACCCCUUUCUAAAAUCAUUAUACCCAAGGAAACCUACUUCUUCAGUGGAAAACAAUUUACAUGGCAAAAAAUAGUGAGGUGCAUAAUACGAUUUAUUUUGGUAACUGAGUAUAUGAAUGUAUGAUAUUAAUGAUACCAUACAGUAUGUAUAUAAUAUCACACAGUAUGUAUGAUUGUACAGCAUGUAUGAUAUGAUAUCUCAGAAAACAUUUGCCUUCAAAUUAUGGAUUAUAAGACAAAGACUAACUCUUGAGUUUCUAUUAUGUUUUAUAGCAUAGUGUCUGUGCUUAAGCUUCAGUUUCACAAUAGAAGCCAAUAGAGAAGUAGGAAUUGUUCCAAAGAAGUUUUUGAAGCAUUUAAGCACCGUAUCAAUUGCAUACAUCAUGAAAUUUCAACUGUGAUAAAGCCAGUGUGCAAUAAAUUUCUACUAAGAAAGACAUCAAAAAAGAGAGAUUUUCUUUCUCUUAUACAAAUCAAAGUUAGAAUGUAUGUACAGUAGAAAAUGUGACAUCAUUCAAAGGCUAUCAUCACAUUUCCUUUACCCACUCACCUGCAGAGGGGGACACUUAGGCUGAGUCCUUAUCUUGGCUGUUGGGAAUAACGCUGCCCGGAGCACAGGAGCGCAGAUCUCAUCUUACUGGUUUCAUUGCCUUUGGCUCUACACCCAAGUUGCUAGGUUGUACAGUAGCUCUGCUAAUGUUUUGAGCAACCACUAAACUUCUUGCACGAUGGUUGUACUAACUGACAUCCUACCAACAGUGUGCCAGGGUUCAUGGACAAAUCUGGAGGACAUUAUGUUACGUGAAAGAAUUCAGACGCAGACAGACAAACGCAGUACUGCAUGAUAUCACAAAUGUGUGGAAUCUAACUAAGCUGGCCUCGUAGAAACAGAGUAGGAUGAUGGCGACUCCAAGGAUAGGGUGGCUGAGAGGAAGGGGAAGGAAAUGUUGGUCGUAGCACAUAAAAUUUCAGUUAGAUACAGGGAAUCGAUUGCAGAGAUCUUUUGUACCACAAAGUGACUACAGUUAACAAUAUGCCAAAUUCUUGAAAAAUACCAACCGAGUGGAUUUUAAAAUUUUAUCACCAUAAAAAUGAGAACUAGGUCAGAUGAUGUGUAUGUUAGUCCUGUUUACUCAUUGUACUAUAUGUAAUGCAUGUAUAUAUUAAAAACAUUAUGAAUGUUGUACAUAAUAAAUUUGUCAGUUUAAAUGACUAAAUAAAACUAUCAGCCUUCUCACCAA
Long non-coding RNA from Cavia porcellus (domestic guinea pig), 6057 nucleotides. RefSeq lists it as uncharacterized. The transcript has 2 exons. The record is from RefSeq and is a predicted model, not a curated record. NCBI's taxonomy places the organism in Eukaryota, Metazoa, Chordata, Mammalia, Rodentia, Caviidae.